AUGCCCUUCCCAGCUGUGGUUGCCGCGGUGCUGCUGCAGCUACUAACUGCAGCGGUGACAGCAGCAGGAUGCAGUACAAGUUGUGGUAACAUCAGCAUCCCCUACCCAUUUGGCAUCGAGCCUGAUUGCUACCAUGACGGCUUUAACCUCACCUGUGACUACUCGUACCGCCCUCCCAAACUUUUCCUUGGCGAUGGCACUGUCGAAGUGCUCGAGAUCUCCAUCCCCGACGGCACGGUGCGCAUCAACAGCACCAAUAUCAUGCCAAUGAGUCAUGAUAUUUACGGUGCAUCCAGGCCCAACACAAGCAGGCACCACACAUGGGAUGGCCUCAGAGAGAGAGGACCGUUCUUCGUUGCGCCGGAUAGGAACAAGUUCCUUGUGUUGUCGUGCAACAACAUCCAAGUCAUCCUCAUUGGAGAGGACAACUCCACCAUCAACGCCUGCGCUACUUACUGCCCAUCCUUGGGGAACUCAGAUGCACAGCCUCAGCUUAUCCGGUAUCUACUUCUGCAUGGUGAAUGCUCGGGCCUUGGCUGCUGUAAUGGAGGCAUCCCAAAAGGUUACACUUCCUACCACAUCCAGCUCCAGCCUUCCAAUGACUCGAGCUCCGAUGCUAAAUCGUCAGUAUAUAUAGCCGAGGAGGGGUCCUAUAACAUCUCAAAACUCAUGUCUGAACCUCGCGGUGUGGCACUUCCUGCCUUGCUAGACUGGGUGAUCAGCAAUUCGUCAUGCCAAAAGCAAAACUCUGUUGCUCCUGGAUGCCGCAGCAGCAACAGCUUUUGUCAAAACUACACAAGCUAUGUCUACAAUGGCUACCAGUGCCGCUGCUCUGCCGGUUAUUGUGGAAACCCUUACAUCCUGGACGGAUGCCAAGAUAUUGAUGAAUGUGUUCAUAAGGAAGCCCACUCAUGCCAUGGAAUUUGCGAAAAUAAGCCUGGAACAUUUUACUGCCGCUGCCCUGAUGGGACAUAUGGGAACCCCUCUAUAGAAGGGGGGCGUAUCAAGAUCACAAAUUACUCUGCAGGUUUAAUCAUAGGCAUAGUAAUCAGGGGUGUCUCAAUUUUGCUUCUGGCACUUAGCGCACCAUUUGUUACACGUAUGGUGAAGCUAAGGAAGGUGAAGAAAAUGAGAGAAAAGUUAUUCAACCAAAAUCAUGGGUUGCUAUUGCAGCAGUUAAUAUCACAAAAGGCAGAUAUUGGUGAAAGGAUGAUGUUUACCUUGGGGGAUAUAGAGAAGGCCACAAACAAUUUUGACAAGUCUCGUGAGGUUGGUGGCGGCGGACAUGGUGUCGUGUAUAAAGGAAUUCUAGACCUACAUGUUGUUGCCAUCAAGAAAUCAAAGAUUGUAGUACAAAGGGAAAUCAAUGAAUUCAUCAAUGAGGUUGCUAUUCUUUCUCAAAUCAACCAUAAAAAUGUGGUGAAGCUCCUGGGAUGCUGCCUUGAGACAGAAGUGCCUCUGUUGGUUUAUGAGUUCAUUUCAAAUGGAACCCUAUACCACCAUCUUCAUGUGGAAGGUCCAAAAUCAUUAUCAUGGGAUGAUCGUUUAAGGAUUGCACUUGAGAUCGCUAGAGCUCUAGCCUAUCUGCACUCGGCUACUUCAGUGCCCAUAUUUCACAGAGAUAUCAAGUCCUCCAACAUACUUCUGGAUGAGAGCUUAACAGCAAAGGUGUCGGACUUUGGAGCCUCAAGGUACAUCCCAAUUGAUCAAACAGCAGUGAUGACAGCUGUUCAAGGAACACUUGGUUAUUUAGACCCCAUGUACUACACAGGUCGACUAACAGACAAGAGCGAUGUUUUCAGUUUCUGUGUUCUCCUUAUAGAAUUGCUAACCAGGAAGAAACCGUAUGUGUAUAGAUCAGAUAACGAUGCCAGCCUUGUUGCCCAUUUCGUUUCAUCACUCAAAAAAGGCGAUCUUGCUGACAUAGUAGACCCGCAAGUCAUGGAAGAAGAAGACGACGGAGAACUCCAAGAAGUGGCCAUGCUAGCGGCGACGUGCACUGGAUUGGAAGGAGAGAGCCGACCAACAAUGAAGGAAGUGGAGAUGGCCCUUGAAAACUUGCGGGCCAGAAAGAAGCCCGCUCCAUAUAAUUCAGCGUCAAUGAGAUACGAUGGGGAUCAGAUUGUUGUGCAGUAUAAGUCAAUUGAAGAUUUACUCGCCAAGACGGAUAUGCCUGUUGAAGGGGAUGCCGAGGCAUCGAGCAGACAAUAUACUAUGGAAGAGGAAAUCUUGCUGUCAGCAAGGUACCCCAGAUGA
This 2256-nucleotide ribosomal RNA is filed under the name Triticum aestivum (bread wheat). Its description in RNAcentral is "partial small subunit ribosomal RNA". The record is from RNAcentral. Lineage: Eukaryota; Viridiplantae; Streptophyta; Magnoliopsida; Poales; Poaceae.